GAUGAACGCUGGCGGCGUGCCUAAUACAUGCAAGUCGAGCGAACAGACGAGGAGCUUGCUCCUUUGACGUUAGCGGCGGACGGGUGAGUAACACGUGGGUAACCUACCUAUAAGACUGGGAUAACUUCGGGAAACCGGAGCUAAUACCGGAUAAUAUUUUGAACCGCAUGGUUCGAUAGUGAAAGAUGGCUUUGCUAUCACUUAUAGAUGGACCUGCGCUGUAUUAGCUAGUUGGUAAGGUAACGGCUUACCAAGGCAACGAUACGUAGCCGACCUGAGAGGGUGAUCGGCCACACUGGAACUGAGACACGGUCCAGACUCCUACGGGAGGCAGCAGUAGGGAAUCUUCCGCAAUGGGCGAAAGCCUGACGGAGCAACGCCGCGUGAGUGAUGAAGGUCUUCGGAUCGUAAAACUCUGUUAUUAGGGAAGAAUAAACGUGUAAGUAACUGUGCACGUCUUGACGGUACCUAAUCAGAAAGCCACGGCUAACUACGUG
This 497-nucleotide ribosomal RNA is filed under the name uncultured bacterium. Its description in RNAcentral is "partial 16S ribosomal RNA". It matches the Rfam family "Bacterial small subunit ribosomal RNA", at positions 28 to 507 of the family's 1533-position model. The record is from RNAcentral.